GAAGUUUUCGGAUGGAAUCAGUAUAACUUAGUGGCGGACGGGUGAGUAACGCGUGGGAAACCUGCCCUGUACCGGGGGAUAACACUUAGAAAUAGGUGCUAAUACCGCAUAAGCGCACGGAACCGCAUGGUUCCGUGUGAAAAACUCCGGUGGUACAGGAUGGUCCCGCGUCUGAUUAGCCAGUUGGCAGGGUAACGGCCUACCAAAGCGACGAUCAGUAGCCGGCCUGAGAGGGUGAACGGCCACAUUGGGACUGAGACACGGCCCAAACUCCUACGGGAGGCAGCAGUGGGGAAUAUUGCACAAUGGGGGAAACCCUGAUGCAGCGACGCCGCGUGAGUGAAGAAGUAUUUCGGUAUGUAAAGCUCUAUCAGCAGGGAAGAAAAUGACGGUACCUGACUAAGAAGCCCCGGCUAACUACGUGCCAGCAGCCGCGGUAAUACGUAGGGGGCAAGCGUUAUCCGGAUUUACUGGGUGUAAAGGGAGCGUAGACGGCAUGGCAAGCCAGAUGUGAAAACCCAGGGCUCAACCUUGGGAUUGCAUUUGGAACUGCCAGGCUGGAGUGCAGGAGAGGUAAGCGGAAUUCCUAGUGUAGCGGUGAAAUGCGUAGAUAUUAGGAGGAACACCAGUGGCGAAGGCGGCUUACUGGACUGUAACUGACGUUG
Molecule: ribosomal RNA, 665 nt
Filed under: uncultured Lachnospiraceae bacterium
Lineage: Bacteria; Bacillati; Bacillota; Clostridia; Lachnospirales; Lachnospiraceae
Description: bacterial SSU rRNA
Rfam family: Bacterial small subunit ribosomal RNA
Source: RNAcentral